CAAUCUUGAGAGACCAACAGGGAUUGCCUCAGUAACGGCGAGUGAAGUGGCAACAGCUCAAAUUUGAAAUCUGGCUCUUUCAGGGUCCGAGUUGUAAUUUGUAGAAGAUGCUUUGGGUGUGGCUCCGGUCUAAGUUCCUUGGAACAGGACGUCAUAGAGGGUGAGAAUCCCGUACGUGACUGGGUGCCUUCGCUCGUGUAAAGCUCUUUCGACGAGUCGAGUUGUUUGGGAAUGCAGCUCAAAAUGGGUGGUAAAUUUCAUCUAAAGCUAAAUAUUGGCCAGAGACCGAUAGCGCACAAGUAGAGUGAUCGAAAGAUGAAAAGCACUUUGGAAAGAGAGUUAAACAGUACGUGAAAUUGUUGAAAGGGAAGCGCUUGCAACCAGACUUGCGCGCUGUUGAUCAUCCGAGCUUUUGCCCGGUGCACUCGGCAGCGCUCAGGCCAGCAUCGGUUUUGGUGGGCGGAUAAAGGCCUUGGGAAUGUAGCUCUCUUCGGGGAGUGUUAUAGCCCUCGGUGCAAUGCGCCCUACCGGGACCGAGGACCGCGCUUCGGCUAGGAUGCUGGCGUAAUGGUUGUAAGCGACCCGUCUUGAAACACGGACCAAGGAGUCUAACAUCUAUGCGAGUGUUUGGGUGUCAAACCCAUACGCGUAAUGAAAGUGAACGGAGGUGAGAACCCUUAAGGGUGCAUCAUCGACCGAUCCUGAUGUCUUCGGAUGGAUUUGAGUAAGAGCAUAGCUGUUGGGACCCGAAAGAUGGUGAACUAUGCCUGAAUAGGGUGAAGCUAGAGGAAACUCUGGUGGAGGCUCGCAGCGGUUCUGACGUGCAAAUCGAUCGUCAAAUUUGGGUAUAGGGGCGA
This 857-nucleotide ribosomal RNA is filed under the name Helotiales sp. 68 OA-2013. RNAcentral describes it as "LSU rRNA". It matches the Rfam family "Eukaryotic large subunit ribosomal RNA", at positions 52 to 926 of the family's 3401-position model. The record is from RNAcentral. Lineage: Eukaryota; Fungi; Ascomycota; Leotiomycetes; Helotiales.